This 433-nucleotide ribosomal RNA is filed under the name uncultured bacterium. Its description in RNAcentral is "partial 16S ribosomal RNA". It matches the Rfam family "Bacterial small subunit ribosomal RNA", at positions 29 to 507 of the family's 1533-position model. The record is from RNAcentral.
AACGAACGCUGGCGGCAUGCCUAACACAUGCAAGUCGAACGAGACCUUCGGGUCUAGCGGCGCACGGGUGCGUAACGCGUGGGAACCUGCCCUUAGGUUCGGAAUAACUCCCCGAAAGGGGUGCUAAUACCGGCUAAUGUAUUCGGACCAAAGAUUUAUCGCCUUUGGUUGGGCCCGCGUUGGAUUAGCUGGUUGGUAGGGUAAAAGCCUACCAGGGCGACGCUCGAUAGCUGGUCUGAGAGGAUGCGCAGCCACACUGGGACGGGGACACGGCCCAGACUCUUACGGGAUGCAGGAGUGGGUAAUACUGGACUAUCGGCGAAAUGCUGAACCAGUAAGGCCUCGAGAGUGAUGAAGGCCUUAGGGUUGUAAAGCACGUUUACCCGGGAUUAUAAUGACAGUACCGGGAGAAUAAGCACCGGCUAACUCCGUG